CUCAGGAUGAACGCUAGCGACAGGCUAACACAUGCAAGUCGAGGGGCAGCAUAAAAGUAGCAAUACUUGGUGGCGACCGGCGCACGGGUGAGUAACGCGUAUGCAACCUACCUAUCAGAGGGGAAUAACCCGGCGAAAGUCGGACUAAUACCGCAUAAAACAGGGGCACCGCAUGGUGAUAUUUGUUAAAGAAAUUCGCUGAUAGAUGGGCAUGCGUUCCAUUAGGGUAGUUGGUGAGGUAACGGCUCACCAAGCCGACGAUGGAUAGGGGAACUGAGAGGUUGGUCCCCCACACUGGUACUGAGACACGGACCAGACUCCUACGGGAGGCAGCAGUGAGGAAUAUUGGUCAAUGGGCGGGAGCCUGAACCAGCCAAGUCGCGUGAAAGGAAGAAGGAUCUAUGGUUCGUAAACUUCUUUUGCAGGGGAAUAAAGUGCAGGACGUGUCCUGUUUUGUAUGUACCCUGAGAAUAAGGAUCGGCUAACUCCGUGCCAGCCGCAGC
RNAcentral lists this ribosomal RNA (503 nucleotides) under uncultured bacterium. RNAcentral's name for it is "bacterial SSU rRNA". It matches the Rfam family "Bacterial small subunit ribosomal RNA", at positions 23 to 518 of the family's 1533-position model. The record is from RNAcentral.